This 253-nucleotide ribosomal RNA is filed under the name uncultured bacterium. Its description in RNAcentral is "partial 16S ribosomal RNA". It matches the Rfam family "Bacterial small subunit ribosomal RNA", at positions 524 to 776 of the family's 1533-position model. The record is from RNAcentral.
UACGAAGGGGGCUAGCGUUGCUCGGAAUCACUGGGCGUAAAGCGCACGUAGGCGGAUUGUUAAGUCAGGGGUGAAAUCCUGGAGCUCAACUCCAGAACUGCCUUUGAUACUGAGGAUCUUGAGUACGGGAGAGGUGAGUGGAACUGCGAGUGUAGAGGUGAAAUUCGUAGAUAUUCGCAAGAACACCAGUGGCGAAGGCGGCUCACUGGCCCGUAACUGACGCUGAGGCACGAAAGCGUGGGGAGCAAACAGG